AUGUUUGACUCAGCCUCAAGGGCUGUAGAUUUAGAGCUUAUGCUCUUGGGAAGGUGGCUGAGAUGCUGCAAGCUUGACCCAUGGGUAGGUUCUGGCUACACCGGACAAUUCCAUGGUGUGGCUUUGUGUCACUGUUCUUUUGUGUACAUUGUGCCUGCUGGGAACCCCUGUACCCCAGGAGCCAGGCUGGCUAGAAAGAAAUUUUAGCUAAUCUGGCCCUUGGAAAGCACACGCAGGUGUGUUUCUGUGUGAAUGGGCAUGUGUGCCUCCCCCACCACCAGUGUGUGUGUGUGUGUGUGUGUGUGUGUGUGUGUGUGUGUGUUGGAAACCAGAAGAGAAGGGAUCUUGGGGGAAGAAGUGUGUGGUAGUUAUGAGGGGACAAGGUGGCUUUCUCCUUUCCUUACUGAGUAUGACAGGAAGGAGCCUGGGUGGCAAUGAGGGAAUUGAAACCCAUCACGAGAUCAGAGCAAGCCGGUGGAAAGAAAUCCCCUAUGUCCCGAGAGAGGCCUGGCUCCCCUCGAGCAGAGCUGGCCAAACCUGACUAGGCAGCUUGCUGUCUUUUGUGUGAACUCAAGAGUGUCCUGAGGUAGUUAGGCUCCUCCUGGCCAUAUUUCUAACAACCUAUGGUUCUCGGCAACUUGGGCAGCAGCUCCAUAAAGCCAGGACCCAGGCUAAUAGUCUCCUGCUGUCUCUUCCUUUGGCUCAGCAGGGACUCCUUACACACCCCCACUAGUUUCCUGCCACAGAGGGCAGGAGGAACUGACCCAGAGCAAGCUCUAGAAGGAAGAGGGGUGAGUCAGGCCCUCAGGGGCAUGUGGAGAGAAAUGGAGAGCUGUGGCUUCUGUGGUCACUGCUCAGAGGAAAGCCCCUUCCUGUGUGGCACUGCUCUGUCUUCUGGCUGCAGGAAGAGGGCGGGACCACUACCCUGGUAGCCAUCAGGAUUCUUCUUGGGACAGGGCGGGGUGGUGAGUUCAGCCUCUGGUGUUUAUAUCCUGAGCUGCCUGGAGGCAGCCACAUAGAGGCUUAACUGCACGGUACUACGGCAGAACUACACAGGUCAUAUGCACUCUGGUCUCUGUACAACCCUAGGGCACGCCUUUCAUCCCACAGAAGCAGUCAUAGCAGCUUUUCCCAGAGGCCACUGCUUCUGCUAAGAACUGAUGGAGAAGAGGUUGGCCAAGCUCUGGGGGUCCUGGAACUUGCUUUGUAGACCAGAAGUCUGCCUGCUUCUGCCUCCUGAGUGCUGGGAUUAAAGUUGUGCGUCACCACCUCUCAGCUUGCUGUUUUCUUACUUCAAAACAACAACAACAAACACAACCAACUUUGCAUCUCUGGUUUCCACAACCAAUGGCUCCCUCUUCCUUCACUCAAGAGUUCGGAUCUUCUUCUGCAGGGCCCAAUCUCUCCUCCACUCCUCCAUGAAGCCCCAGGGCAAGAAGUUUGCAGACUGGACGCCAACGGGCGCCUCAUCUUUCUGGAGAGGAAUCUGAGGCCCUGAGAAAAUUAUCACCAGCUAGAAAGUUGAAGAAAGAUUUCCUCACCCCACAGUCAAACACUUUUCUUCUCUACCUGGGAGAAGAGGGGUGCUGUUCUGGAGAGAAAGAGACCCCAGGAAGGGACAAGAUCUACCCCCAGUCCACAUGAUAUUAUUGUGUACUCCGUGUCAGAACAAUGCAGUUAAGGACUUAAUUAUAAGCUGUUCUGCACUGUUAUUUAAUCAGUUCCAAACUAGACUGUCAGCUCCCUGAGGGCAGGGAAAAUCCUGUGGGCUCUUGGCACAAGACUAGGCACAUGGAAGGUAGCCCCAUGGUGGGACCAGAGCCUUCGGUAGCAAAGAAAACUAUAGGGGCCUUAUUCUGCUCAGAUGCAAGCUAGCAGCAAGUGUGAGUGUGCACACAUAAGUGAUGCUGGUUCUGGUAAAGAUCCAAAGUGA
Cricetulus griseus (Chinese hamster) is the source of this 1933-nucleotide non-coding RNA. Lineage: Eukaryota; Metazoa; Chordata; Mammalia; Rodentia; Cricetidae. The record is from RefSeq and is a predicted model, not a curated record.